CGCCUCCGGCCCUCCGCGACUCCGCCUCCGGCCCUCCGCGACUCCGCCUCUCCCUCAGGCCUUAUCCUGCAGCCGCCGACUUCAAGAAUCAAAGAUUCAAAGUCUCAACCCUAAUUACACGCUCCAGUCUCUCCCCGGUCAGUACUCAGCAGUCACUUGCAGCCCUGUUGACUUCAAGAAUCAAAUCAAAGAUUCAAAGUUGGAGCUAUGUCACAAUCUCAACCAUUGCAACCGGAGGUAGAGAUGAAGGAUUCCAACGAUGCUAAUGCCAAUACUCAAUCAAGCUCCAUCACUUGUUCUGUUUUAUGGUGGCCUAACUACUGGCUACUGGUUGUGACUUUGAGUUGGCCGCAUUGCAGAUUCCACUAUUCCAGAGUAGUCCAAGCACCUGCACCUGCUGUUGGAUCAAAUGGAUUAAAUUAAAUUCUGUUUUUCAAUUAAGAACUAGUACCUGCCACUGUCUUUUGAUGUUGUAACUGAACAGAAUAUUUGGAAUUUGUGUAAAACUAAAUUCUUGAUUGUUUUGCUAAUUGCUAGAA
Molecule: long non-coding RNA, 539 nt
Organism: Daucus carota subsp. sativus
Lineage: Eukaryota; Viridiplantae; Streptophyta; Magnoliopsida; Apiales; Apiaceae
Exons: 4
Source: RefSeq, a predicted model, not a curated record